RNAcentral lists this ribosomal RNA (464 nucleotides) under uncultured bacterium. RNAcentral describes it as "partial 16S ribosomal RNA". It matches the Rfam family "Bacterial small subunit ribosomal RNA", at positions 339 to 795 of the family's 1533-position model. The record is from RNAcentral.
CUACGGGAGGCUGCAGUGGGGAAUAUUGCACAAUGGGCGCAAGCCUGAUGCAGCCAUGCCGCGUGUAUGAAGAAGGCCUUCGGGUUGUAAAGUACUUUCAGCGGGGAGGAAGGGAGUAAAGUUAAUACCUUCGCUCAUUGACGUUACCCGCAGAAGAAGCACCGGCUAACUCCGUGCCAGCAGCCGCGGUAAUACGGAGGGUGCAAGCGUUAAUCGGAAUUACUGGGCGUAAAGCGCACGCAGGCGGUUUGUUAAGUCAGAUGUGAAAUCCCCGGGCUCAACCUGGGAACUGCAUCUGAUACUGGCAAGCUUGAGUCUCGUAGAGGGGGGUGGAAUUCCAGGUGUAGCAGUGAAAUGCGUAGAGAUCUGGAGGAAUACCGGUGGCGAAGGCGGCCCCCUGGACGAAGACUGACGCUCAGGUGCGAAAGCGUGGGGAGCAAACAGGAUUAGAUACCCCGGUAGUC